This is a non-coding RNA of Flavobacteriaceae bacterium TMED121, 108 nucleotides long. The record is from Rfam. NCBI's taxonomy places the organism in Bacteria, Pseudomonadati, Bacteroidota, Flavobacteriia, Flavobacteriales, Flavobacteriaceae.
UUGUUGUGGGCAAGUCCUGCACAACCAGCUCCUACCGAAUCCCCCCAGGGCGGGAACGCAGCAAGGGUAGGUGGUUGUAGCGGUGUGAUGUAGNUAGCUUGCCCUUUU